GACGAACGCUGGCGGCGUGCUUAACACAUGCAAGUCGAACGGAAAGGCCCCGCUUUUGUGGGGUGCUCGAGUGGCGAACGGGUGAGUAACACGUGAGUAACCUGCCCUUGACUUUGGGAUAACUUCAGGAACUGGGGCUAAUACCGGAUAGGAGCUCCUGCUGCAUGGUGGGGGUUGGAAAGUUUCGGCGGUUGGGGAUGGACUCGCGGCUUAUCAGCUUGUUGGUGGGGUAGUGGCUUACCAAGGCUUUGACGGGUAGCCGGCCUGAGAGGGUGACCGGCCACAUUGGGACUGAGAUACGGCCCAGACUCCUACGGGAGGCAGCAGUGGGGAAUAUUGCACAAUGGGCGGAAGCCUGAUGCAGCAACGCCGCGUGCGGGAUGACGGCCUUCGGGUUGUAAACCGCUUUCGCCUGUGACGAAGCGUGAGUGACGGUAAUGGGUAAAGAAGCACCGGCUAACUACGUG
RNAcentral lists this ribosomal RNA (467 nucleotides) under uncultured bacterium. RNAcentral's name for it is "partial 16S ribosomal RNA". It matches the Rfam family "Bacterial small subunit ribosomal RNA", at positions 28 to 507 of the family's 1533-position model. The record is from RNAcentral.